This 253-nucleotide ribosomal RNA is filed under the name uncultured bacterium. Its description in RNAcentral is "partial 16S ribosomal RNA". It matches the Rfam family "Bacterial small subunit ribosomal RNA", at positions 524 to 776 of the family's 1533-position model. The record is from RNAcentral.
UACGGGGGGGGCAAGCGUUGUUCGGAAUUACUGGGCGUAAAGGGCUCGUAGGCGGCCAACUAAGUCGGACGUGAAAUCCCUCGGCUUAACCGGGGAACUGCGUCCGAUACUGAAUGGCUUGAGUUCGGGAGAGGGAUGCGGAAUUCCAGGUGUAGCGGUGAAAUGCGUAGAUAUCUGGAGGAACACCGGUGGCGAAGGCGGCAUCCUGGACCGAGAUUGACACUGAUGAGCGAAAGCUAGGGGAGCAAACGGG